UACGAAGGGGGCUAGCGUUGCUCGGAAUCAUUGGGCGUAAAGGGUGCGUAGGCGGCGCGGUAAGUCGGGUGUGAAAUCUCGGAGCUUAACUCCGAAACUGCAUUCGAUACUGCCGUGCUUGAGGACUGGAGAGGAAACUGGAAUUUACGGUGUAGCGGUGAAAUGCGUAGAUAUCGUAAGGAAGACCAGUGGCGAAGGCGGGUCUCUGGACAGUUCCUGACGCUGAGGCACGAAGGUCAGGGGAGCAAACGGG
Molecule: ribosomal RNA, 253 nt
Filed under: uncultured bacterium
Lineage: Bacteria
Description: partial 16S ribosomal RNA
Rfam family: Bacterial small subunit ribosomal RNA
Source: RNAcentral